This 32-nucleotide ribosomal RNA is filed under the name Chuquiraga avellanedae. RNAcentral's name for it is "partial large subunit ribosomal RNA". The record is from RNAcentral. Lineage: Eukaryota; Viridiplantae; Streptophyta; Magnoliopsida; Asterales; Asteraceae.
GGUCAGGCGGGACUACCCGCUGAGUUUAAGCA